Long non-coding RNA from Micropterus salmoides (largemouth bass), 316 nucleotides. RefSeq lists it as uncharacterized. Lineage: Eukaryota; Metazoa; Chordata; Actinopteri; Centrarchiformes; Centrarchidae. The record is from RefSeq and is a predicted model, not a curated record. The transcript is spliced from 3 exons.
GCAAGCUCCACAUCUCCUGGAAGUCCCUCACGUCUCUCUCUGCCACGUCACAGUGCAUGAAAAGAUGUCCCGCUCCAUUUGUUGAUUUGACUGGACAGAUCAUCAAAGGAUGUCCUGUCGGUGAAAGAGAACAGGAACAGGACAGCGUCCACUUGCUCCUUACAGGACUGGAGGACAGGGAACGUCCCACAGCUGCAGACGGAAGAAAAGCACCCUGCCGCCUUCUGUCAGCUUCACUGGCCAAUACACCACUGUCGUCUCAAUACCUUAAACAACAAAAGAUAAUAGGUUUUUAAUUGUACAAACUACUUUCAAA